Molecule: long non-coding RNA, 1096 nt
Filed under: Equus caballus (horse)
Lineage: Eukaryota; Metazoa; Chordata; Mammalia; Perissodactyla; Equidae
Description: lncRNA (ENSECAG00000056312.1)
Source: RNAcentral
GUGAAAUAAUAAUAAUAAUAAUAAUAAUAAUAAUAAUAAUUGAGAAGUUUCUGCCCCUCACUAGAAAGGGAGAGUGAAAUAAUAAUAAUAAUAAUAAUAAUAAUAAUAAUUGAGAAGUUUCUGCCCCUCUCUAGAAAGGGAGAUGAAAUAAAAAAUAAUAAUAAUAAUAAUAAUAAUAAUAAUUGAGAAGUUUUUGCCCCUCUCUGGAAAGGGAGAGUGAAAUAAAAAAAAUAAAUAAUAAUAAUAAUAAUAAUAAUAAUUGAGAAGUUUUGCCCCUCUCUAGAAAGUGAGAGUGAAAUAAAAAUAAUAAUAAUAAUAAUAAUAAUAAUUGAGAAGUUUCUGCCCCUCUCUAGAAAGGGAGAGUGAAAUAAAUAAUAAUAAUAAUAAUAAUAAUAAUAAUAAUAAUUGAGAAGUUUUUGCCCCUCUCUAGAAAGGGAGAGUGAAAUAAUAAUAAUAAUAAUAAUAAUAAUAAUAAUAAUAAUUGAGAAGUUUCUGCCCCUCACUAGAAAGGGAGAGUGAAAUAAUAAUAAUAAUAAUAAUAAUAAUAAUAAUUGAGAAGUUUCUGCCCCUCUCUAGAAAGGGAGAGUAAAAUAAAAAAUAAUAAUAAUAAUAAUAAUAAUAAUUGAGAAGUCUUUGCCCCUCUCUAUUAAGGGAGAGUGAAAUAAAAUAAUAAUAAUAAUAAUAAUAGAGAAGUUUUAGUCCCUCUCCGGAAAGGGAGAGUGAAAUAAGGUUAGGAAGAAUAAGAAGUAUUAAGAACUUUGAGAAGUUAUGGGCCAUACUGAGUCUAAAGAGAGAAGGCUCUUUAUAGAAAUAAUAAUAUGUAUGCUUGCAAAAAGAGGCAUAAAAGCCUCUUCGGGACAGAUUUCUAAAUUUCUACAUUUCGUACAAGAACAAUGUCCCUGGUUCCCCGAAGAAGGAACUGUUAAUUUGGAAACUUGGAUGAUGGUGGGGGCACAACUUAGAAAAUAUUACGCUCAAAAGGGGCCAGAAGGAAUUCCUGUUGAUGCGUUUGCUCUCUGGAAUCUGAUUAGAGAUACCCUUGACCCCCAACCAGAGGAAAUGAAGGCAACUUCCCCUGGAGAGCCUUCUCCUGGAG